GGCUGAUAUAAACCACAUCCAAGAGAGAGCAACUGCCAAGACCAAAAUAAGAAAAGUCAGACUAGAUGUCAAAUUGAAUGGGGGCACAAGGUAGCAUGGAGGAGAGAAGCCCAAAUGUCCAGGAGUCAAUGAAAUGUAGAAGUGAAAUCAAGGUCAAAAGAGAUGGACUCUCGCUAUGUUGCCCAGGCUGGGCUCAGACUUUUGGCCUCAAGCUAUCCUCUCGCCUCAGACUGCCAAAGUGCCAGGAUUACACGUGUAAGCCACUGUGCGCAGCCUAGAUUUUGGAAAUGAGCAUAAAAGAUCGUGAGCCUGCACUCUGCUUCAACUUAAAGCAGUUUAAAAAUAAAGAUGCUGCAAACUCUACCUCUGGCACUUUUCUUGCUGCUUUAUUUUUGCGAUUUCCUCCCAAAUCUACUCUGUCACCC
This 425-nucleotide long non-coding RNA is filed under the name Homo sapiens (human). Its description in RNAcentral is "HSALNT0369109". The record is from RNAcentral. Lineage: Eukaryota; Metazoa; Chordata; Mammalia; Primates; Hominidae.